AAGCAAGAAGCACAGAAGAAGCUCCUAGCCAACACCAAUCAAAGCUUCCAUCCAAUCCCAAGCAACCUCGACGAUGUCUUGCUGCGGAGGAAACUGCGGCUGCGGCAGCGCCUGCAAGUGCGGCAACGGCUGCGGCGGCUGCAACAUGUACCCGGAGGCCGAGGCCGCCGGCGCCACCCUCCUCGUCUCCGCCACCGCCACCCACAAGGCGUACGUCCCUUCUCUUCUCCUUCGAUGACAGUUAUAUUAUGAGUUUCUGAGUUUUGAUGUACCGAAGGAGGUCGGAGUCCCGGAUGAGAUCGAGGACAUGACGAUAAGUCUCGAAAUGGCCGAGCCGUAAAGAUUGAUAUAUUGGACGACUAUAUUCGGAGUUUGGAAAGGUUCCGAGUGAUUCGGGUAUUUUUGGAGUACCGAAGAGUUACGGGAAUUCGCCGGGGAGUAUAUGGGCCUUAUUGGGCCAUACGGGAAUGGAGGAGAGAGGCCAAAGGAAGGAGGCAUGCGCCCCCCCUCUGGUCCAAAUUGGACAAGGGGCGCAGCCCCCCUUUCCUUCUUCCUCUCCCCCUCUUUCCCCUUCUCCUACUCCAACAAGGGAGGUGGAAUCCUACUAGGACUACGGAGUCCUAGUAGGACUCCACACUUGGCGCGCCCCCUCCUAGGGCCGGCCUCCUCCCCCCUUGCUCCUUUAUAUACGGGGGGAGGGGGGCACCCCAUGACACACAAGUUGAUCUACGUGAUCGUUCCUUAGCCGUGUGUGUUGCCCCCCUCCACCAUAUUCCACCUCGGUCAUAUCGUCGCGGAGUUUAGGCGAAGCCCUGCGCCGGUAGAACAUCAUCAUCGUCACCACGCCGUCGUGCUGACGGAACUCAUCCCCGACACUUUGCUGGAUCGGAGUCCAGGGAUCGUCAUCGAGCUGAACUUGUGCUGAACACGGAGGUGCCGUACGUUCGGUACUUGGAUCGGUCGGAUCGUGAAGACGUACGACUACAUCAACCGCGUUGUCAUAACGCUUCCGCUUACAGUCUACAAGGGUACGUGGAAAUUACUCUCCCCUCUCGUUGCUAUGCAUCACCAUGAUCUUGCGUGUGCGUAGGAAUUUUUUUGAAAUUACUACGUUUCCCAACAGUGGCAUCCGAGCCUAGGUUUUAUGCGUUGAUAUUAUAUGCACGAGUAGAACACAAGUGAGUUGUGGGCGAUACAAGUCAUACUACUAACCAGCAUGUCAUACUUUGGUUCAGCGGUAUUGUUGGAUGAAGCGGCCCGGACCGACAUUACGCGUACGCUUACGCGAGACUGGUUUUACCGCCGUGCUUUGCACACAGGUGACUAGCGGGUGUCUGUUUCUCCAACUUUAGUUGAACCGAGUGUGGCUACGCCCGGUCCUUGAGAAGGUUAAAACAGCAUUAACUUGACGAACUAUCGUUGUGGUUUUGAUGCGUAGGUAAGAACGGUUCUUUCUCAGCCCAUAGCAGCCACGUAAAACUUGCAACAACAAAGUAGAGGACGUCUAACUUGUUUCUGCAGGGCAUGUUGUGAUGUGAUAUGGUCAAGACGUGAUGAGAUAUAAGUUGUUGUAUGAGAUGAUCAUGUUUUGUUGAAGUUAUCAGCAACUGGCAGAAGCCCUAUGGUUGUCUCUUUGUUGCAUAAGAUGCAAGUGCCAAAUAAUUGCUUUACUUUAUAGCUAUACGAUAGCAAUAGUUGCAAGAGCAAUAGUUGGCGAGACGACCAUGUGACGACACAUUCAUAUAGAUCAAGAUGAUGAAGAUCAUGGUGUCGUGCUGGUAACGAUAGAGAUCAUGAAAGUACUUUGGAGAUGGAGAUCACAAGCACAAGAUGAUGAUGGCCAUAUCAUAUCACUUAUAUUGAUUGCAUGUGAUGUUUAUCUUUUAUACAUCUUAUUUUGCUUAGUUUGACGGUAGCAUUUUAAGAUGAUUUCUCAGUAAAUUAUCAAGAAGUGUUCUCCCUGAGUAUGCACCGUUGCGAAAGUUCUUCGUGCUGAGACACCACGUGAUGAUCGGGUGUGAUAGGCUCUACGUUCAAAUACAGCGGGUGCAAAACAGUUGCACACGCGGAAUACUCAGGUUAAACUUGACGUGCCUAGCAUAUAACAGAUAUGGCCUCGGAACACGGAGACCGAAAGGUCGAGCGUGAAUCAUAUAGUAUAUAUGAUCAACAUAUUGAUGUUCACUGUUGAAACUACUCCAUCUCACGCGACGAUAGGACAUGGUGUAGUUGAUAUGGAUCACGUAAUCACUUAGAGGAUUAGAGGGAUGUCUAUCUAAGUGGGAGUUCUUAAGUAAUAUGAUUAAUUGAACUUUAAAUUUAUCAUGAACUUAGUCCCGGUAGUAUUUUGCAAAUUAUGUUGUAGAUCAAUAGCUCGCGUUUUUGCUUUCCUAUGUUUUUAUAUGUGUUCCUAGAGAAAAACUAAGUUGAAAAGAUGUUAGUAGCAAUGAUGCGGACUUGGUCCGUGAUAUAAGGUUUAUCCUCAUUGCUGCACAGAAGAAUUAUGUCCUUGAUGCACCCGCUAGGUGACAGACCUAUUGCAGGAGCAGAUGUAGACAUUAUGAACGUUUGGCUAGCUCAAUAUGAUGACUACUUGAUAGUUUUAUGCACCAUGCUUUAUGGCUUAGAACCGGGACAACAAAAACGUUUUUGAAACGUCAUGGAACAUAUAAGAUGUUUCAAGAGAUGAAAUUGGUAUUUCAGACUCAUGCCCGUGUCAAGAGGUAUGAGAUCUCUGAGAAAUACUUCGCCUAAAAGAUGGAGGAGAAUUGCUCAACUAGUGAGCAAGUACUUAGACUGUCUGAGUACUACAAUCACUUGAAUCGAGUGGGAGUUAAUCUUCCAGAUAAGAUAGUGAUUGGCAGAGUUCUCUAGUCACCAUCACCAAGUUACUGGAACUUCAUGAUGAACUAUAAUGCAAGGGAUGACGAAAACGAUUCCCGAGCUCUUCGUGAUGCUGAAAUCGACGAAGGUAGAAAUCAAGAAAAGAGCAUCAAGUGUUGAUGAUUGACAAGACCACUAAUUUCAAGAAAAGGGCAAAGGGAAAGAAAGGGAACUUCAACUAGAAUGACAAGCAAGUUGUCACUCCCGCGAAGAAGCCCAAAGCUGGACCAAAGCCUGAAACUGAGUGAUUGUACUGCAAAGGAAAUGGUCACUAGAAGCAGAAAUGCCCUGAAUAUUUGGUGGAUAAGAAGGAUGGCAAAGUGAACAAGGGUAUAUUUGAUAUACAUGUUAUUGAUGUGUACUUUACUAGUGUUUAUAGUAGCCCCUGAGUAUUUGAUACUUGUUCAGUUGCUAAAAUUAGUAACUCGAAAUAGGAGUUACAGAAUAAACAGAGACUAGUUGAGGGUGAAGUGACGAUGUGUGUUGGAAGUAGUUCCAAGAUUGAUAUGAUCAUCAUCACACUCUCCCUACACUUUCGAGAUUAGUGUUGAACCUAAAUAAAUGUUAUUUGGCGUUUGCGUUGAGCAUGAAUAUGAUUUGAUCAUGUGUAAUGCAAUACGGUUAUUCAUUUGAAGUCAGAGAAUAAUUGUUAUUCUGUUUACAUGAAUAAAGCCUUCGAUGGUCAUACACCCAAUGAAAAUAGUUUGUUGGAUCUCGAUCGUAGUGAUACACAUAUUUCAUAAUAUUGAUGCCAAAAGAUGCAAAGUUGAUAAUGAUAGUGCAACUUAUUUGGGGCACUGCCAUUUGGGUCAUAUCGGUGUAAAGCGCAUGAAGAAACUCCAUACUGAUGGGUUUUUGGAAUCGCUUGAUUAUGAAUCAUUUGAUGCCUGCGAACCGUGCCUUAUGGGCAAGAUGAAUAAAACUCCGUUCUUCAGAACAAUGGAACGAGCUACUGACUUGUUGGAAAUAAUACAUAUCGAUGUAUGCGAUCCAAUGAGUAUUAAUGCUCAUGGCGAGUAUCGUUAUUUUCUGACCUUCACAAGAUGAUUUGAGCAGAUAUGAGUAUAUCUACUUAAUGAAGCACAAGUCUGAAACAUUUGAAAAGUUCAAAGAAUUUCAGAGUGAAGUGAAGAAUCAUCGUAACAAGAAAAUAAAGUUUCUGUGAUUUGAUCACGGAGACAAAUAUCCGAGUUACGAGUUUGGCCUUCAUAUAAAACAAUGUGGAAUAGUUUCACAGCUCAUGCCACCUGGAACACCAUAGCAUUAUGGUGUGUCCAAACGUCGUAACCGCACUUUAUUGGAUAUGGUGCGAUCUAUGAUGUCUCUUAUCGGUUUACCACUAUCGUUUUGGGGUUAUGCAUUAGAGACAGCUGCAUUCACGUUAAAUAGGGUACCAUCUAAAUCCGUUGAAACGACACCGUAUGAACUAUGGUUUGGCAAGAAACCAAAGUUGUCGUUUCUUAAAGUUUGGGGCUGCGAUGCUUAUGUGAAAAAGUUUCAACCUGAUAAGCUCGAACCCAAAUCGGAGAAGUGCGUCUUCAUAGAAUACCCAAAGGUAAAUAUUGGGUACACCUUCUAUCACAGAUCUGAAAGCAAGUUUUGUUGCUAAGAUGGAUCCUUUCUAGAGAAGAAGUUUCUCUCGAAAGAAGUGAGUGGGAGGAAAGUAGAACUUGAUGAGGUAAUUGUACCUUCUCCCUUGUUGGAAAGUAGUUCAUCACAGAAAUCAGUUCAAGUGAUUCCUACACCAAUUAGUGAGGAAGUUAAUGAUGAUGAUCAUGAAACUUCAGAUCAAGUUGCUACCAAACCUCAUAGGUCUUCCAGAGUAAGAUCCGCACCAGAGUGGUACAGUAAUCAUGUUCUGGAAGUCAUGUUACUAGACCAUGAUGAACCUAUGAACUAUGAGGAAGAGAUGAUGAGCCCAAAUUCCACGAAAUGGCUUGAGGCCAUGAAAUCUGAGAUAGGAUCCAUGUAUGAGAACAAAGUAUGGACUUUGAUUGACUUGCUCGAUAAUCAGCAAGCCAUGUUAAAUAAAUGGAUCUUCAAGAGGAAGAUGGACACUGAUAGUAGUGUUACUAUCUACAAAGCUCGACUUGUCACAAAAAGGUUUUCGACAAGUUCAAGGUGUUGACUACAAUGAGAUUUUCUCAACUGUAGCAAUGCUUAAGUCUGUCCAAAUCAUGUUAGCAAUUGCCACAUUUUAUGAAAUCUAGCAAAUGGAUGUCAAAACUGCAUUCCUUAAUGGACUUAUUAAAGAAGAGUUGUAUAUGAUGCAACCAGAAGGUUUUGUCAAUCCUAAAGAUGCUAACAAAGUGUGCAAGCUCUAGCAAUCCAUCAAUGGACUGGUGCAAGCAUCUCAGAGUUGGAAUAUACGCUUUGAUGAGUUGAUCAAAGCAUAUGGUUUUAUGCAGACCUUUGGAAAGGCCUGUAUUUACAAGAAAGUGAGUGGGAGCACUAUAGCCUUUCUGAUAAGUAUAUGUGAAUGACAUAUUGUUGAUCGGAAAUAAUGUAGAAUUUUCUAGAAAGCAUAAAGGAGUGUUUGAAAGGAUUUUUUCAAAGAAAGACCUCAGUAAAGCUACUUACAUAUUGAGCAUCACGAUCUAUUGAGAUAGAUCAAGACGCUUGAUAAGAUUUUCAAUUAGUACAUACCUUGACAAGAUUUUGAAGUAGUUCAAAAUGGAACAGUCAAAGAAAGAGUUCUUGCCUAUGUUGCAAAGGUGUGAAAUUGAGUAAGACUCAAAUCCCGACCACGGCAGAAAAUAGAAAAGAGAAUGAAAGUCAUUCCCUAUGCCUCAGUCAUAGGUUCUAUAAAGUAUGCUAUGCUGUGAACCAGACCUAUUGUAUAUCUUGCUUUGUGUUUGGCAUAGGAAUACAAUUUUGAUCUAAUAGUAGAUCACUGGACAGCGGUCAAGAAUAUCCUUAGUGAGGACUAAGGAAAUACUUCUCGAUUAUGGAGGUGAUAAAAGAGCCCGUCAUAAAAAGUUACAUCGGUGCAAGCUUUUACACCGAUCCAGAUGACUCUAAGUCUCAAUCUGGAUACAUAUUGAAAGUGGGAGCAAUUAGCUAGAUUAGAUCCAUGCAGAGCAUUGUAGACAUAGAAUAUUUGCAAAAUACAUACGGCUCUGUAUGUGACAGACCCGUUGACUAAACUUCUCUCACGAGCAAAACAUGAUCAUACCUUAGUACUCUUUGGGUGUUAAUCACAUAGCGAUGUGAACUAGAUUAUUGACUCUAGUAAACCCUUUGGGUGUUGGUCACAUGACGAUGUGAACUACGGGUGUUAAUCAUAUACAGAUAUGAAUAUUGAUGUUAAAUCACAUGGCGAUGUGAACUAGAUUAUUGACUCUAGUGCAAGUGGGAGACUGAAGGAAAUAUGCCCUAGAGGCAAUAAUAAAGUUAUUAUUUAUUUCCUUAUAUCAUGAUAAAUGUUUAUUAUUCAUGCUAGAAUCGUAUUAACCGGAAACAUAAUACAUGUGUGAAUACAUAGACAAACAUAGUGUCACUAGUAUGCCUCUACUUGACUAGCUCGUGAAUCAAAGAUGGUUAAGUUUCCUAGCCAUGGACAAAAGAGUUGUCAUUUGAUUAACGGGAUCACAUCAUUAGGAGAAUGAUGUGAUUGACUUGACUCAUUCCGUUAGCCUAGCACUUGAUCGUUUAGUAUAUUGCUAUUGCUUUCUUCAUGACUUAUACAUGUUCAUGUAACUAUGAGAUUAUGCAACUCCCGUUUACCGGAGGAACACUUUGGGUGCUACCAAACGUCACAAUGUAACUGGGUGAUUAUAAAGGAUUACUACAGGUGUCUCCGAAGGUACGUGUUGGGUUGGCGUAUUUCGAGAUUAGGUUUUGUCACUCUGAUUGUCGGAGAGGUAUCUCUGGGCCCUCUCGGUAAUGCACAUCACUAUAAGCCUUGCAAGCAAUGUGACUAAUGAGUUAGUUGCGAGAUGAUGUAUUACGUAACGAGUAAAGAGACUUGCCGGUAACGAGAUUGAACUAGGUAUUAGAUACCGACAAUCGAAUCUCGGGAAAGUAACAUGCCGAUGACAAAGGGAACAACAUAUGUUGUUAUGCGGUUUGACCGAUAAAGAUCUUCGUAGAAUAUGUAGGAGCCAACAUGGGCAUCCAGGUUCCGCUAUUGGUCAUUGACCAAGAAUAGUUCUAGGUCAUGUCUACAUAGUUCUCGAACCCGAAGGGUCCGCACGCUUAAGGUUUCGAUGACAGUUAUAUUAUGAGUUUAUGAGUUUUGAUGUACCGAAGGAGUUCGGAGUCCCGGAUGAGAUCGGGGACAUGACGAGAAGUCUCAAAAUGGUCGAGACGUAAAGAUCGAUAUAUUGGACGACUAUAUUCGGAGUUCGGAAAGGUUCCGAGUGAUUCGGGUAUUUUUCGGAGUACCGGAGAGUUACGGGAAUUCGCCGGGGAGUAUAUGGGCCUUAUUAGGCCAUACAGGAAUAGAGGAGAGAGGCCAAAAGGAAGGAGGCCUGCACCCCCCCUCUGGUCUGAAUUGUACAAGGGGCGUAGCCACCCUUUCCUUCUUCCUCUCCCCCUCUUUUCCCUUCUCCUACUCCAACAAGGGAGGUGGAAUCCUACUAGGACUAGGGAGUCCUAGUAGGACUCCACACUUGGCGCGCCCCCUCCUAGGGCCGGCCUCCUCCCCCCUUGCUCCUUUAUAUACGGGGGCAGGGGGGCACCCCAUGACACACAAGUUGAUCUACGUGAUCGUUCCUUAGCCUGUGUGGUGCCCCCCUCCACCAUAUUCCACCUCGGUCAUAUCGUCGCGGAGUUUAGGCGAAGCCCUGCGCCGGUAGAACAUCAUCAUCGUCACCGCCGUCGUGCUGACGGAACUCAUCCCCGACACUUUGCUGGAUCGGAGUCCGGGGAUCGUCAUCGAGCUGAACGUGUGCUGAACUCGGAGGUGCCGUACGUUCGGUACUUGGAUCGGUCGGAUCGUGAAGACGUACGACUACAUCAACCGCAUUGUCAUAACGCUUCCGCUUACGGUCUACAAGGGUACAUGGACAUUACUCUCCUCUCUCGUUGCUAUGCAUCACCAUGAUCUUGCGUGUGCGUAGGAAUUUUUUUGAAAUUACUACGUUUCCCAACAGAGGAUGGGUUUUGAAGACCAUGAAAUUAUGGAAACCAAAAAAAUUAUCCUAAGUACCCAUCAUGGUGUGGAUUUCCAAGUAAAGCUGUACAAUGCUGAGAGUGUAAUCCAUUUUGGUUGCAAAAAUUGGAAAGCACUUUGCAAGAUGUAUGGUUUUGAUGAGGGUAUGCUUGUCACCAUGGAUCUUGGUGAUCCUACAAUCGAGCAAGAGAGACCUUCGAUUUGGGUCCUUGUGGAUACACCUCCAAUUCUUCCCCCAUGUGAGCUUAACAUAGUUAUUAAGUAAUUUAUAUUGUUUAUUUCAGAAUAGUUGACAUCUUAUUUCCAUUAACAGAUUAUUUUCAUUCUUCAAAGAAUGUGUGGAA
Molecule: long non-coding RNA, 8343 nt
Filed under: Triticum aestivum (bread wheat)
Lineage: Eukaryota; Viridiplantae; Streptophyta; Magnoliopsida; Poales; Poaceae
Description: long non-coding RNA (TAES_LNC028287)
Source: RNAcentral